This 447-nucleotide ribosomal RNA is filed under the name uncultured bacterium. RNAcentral's name for it is "bacterial SSU rRNA". It matches the Rfam family "Bacterial small subunit ribosomal RNA", at positions 355 to 825 of the family's 1533-position model. The record is from RNAcentral.
UGGGGAAUCUUGGACAAUGGGCGCAAGCCUGAUCCAGCCAUGCCGCGUGGAUGAUGAAGGCCUUAGGGUUGUAAAAUCCUUUCGCCGAGGACGAUAAUGACGGUACUCGGAGAAGAAGCUCCGGCUAACUUCGUGCCAGCAGCCGCGGUAAUACGAAGGGGGCUAGCGUUGUUCGGAUUUACUGGGCGUAAAGCGCGUGUAGGCGGGUCGUUAAGUUGGGGGUGAAAUCCCGAGGCUCAACCUCGGAACUGCCUUCAAAACUGGCGACCUGGACCUAAGUAGAGGCAAGUGGAAUUGCGAGUGUAGAGGUGAAAUUCGUAGAUAUUCGCAGGAACACCAGUGGCGAAGGCGACCACCUGGACUGAUACUGACACUGAGGUGCGAAAGCGUGGGGAGCAAACAGGAUUAGAUACCCUAGUAGUCCCUGAGCGGGCUGGCAAGGCGCAU